This is a long non-coding RNA of Alosa alosa (allis shad), 296 nucleotides long. RefSeq lists it as uncharacterized. The transcript has 3 exons. The record is from RefSeq and is a predicted model, not a curated record. NCBI's taxonomy places the organism in Eukaryota, Metazoa, Chordata, Actinopteri, Clupeiformes, Clupeidae.
ACAAAAUUGAAUUUUUUGAGUCGAAGUGCCCAUCUUAUAAGACGACUAGACGUUUUAGUGCUGUUCAUUACCCACUGUAAGGAGGCAUGGGUACGGCUUGCAUAAGCGAUCACCUCCUCGUGACCGACUCCCUUCUUUUGGGCCAGGAUUGCACCCAAUCCCACGUCACUGGCGUCUGUAUAUACAAGGAAAGGAAAAUCCAGGUCAGGAUGUCCCAGAAUGGGAGGAGAGAACCUUUGGAGGCAGAAGUCACAGACAUUUUUCCACCAUGCGGUUCCGGCUUUGGAGAUCUUUGC